CGAAGGCGAAGCGAAAGCGAGUCUUAACAGGGCGAGAGCUUGUUGAGGUAGACGCGAAACCGAGUGAUCUACCCAUGGGCAGGUUGAAGUUCCGAUAAUAUCGGAAUGGAGGACCGAACUGGUAAACGUUGAAAAGUUUUCGGAUGACCUGUGGUAGGGGCGAAAGACUAAUCAAACUCGGAGAUAUCUCGUACUCCCCGAAAUGCAUUUAGGUGCAGCGUCGCCAAGAGUGUGUCGGAGGUAGAGCUACCAAUAGGGCUAGGGGGCUUCACCGCCUACCAACCCCUGAUGAACUCCGAAUGCCGACACAUUGCAACGGCAGUGAGGCGGUGGGUGCUAAGGUCCAUCGCCGAGAGGGGAACAACCCAGACCAUCGGCUAAGGCCCCGAAGUGAUCGCUAAGUUGAUAGAACGAUGGGUGGGGAUGCAUUGACAGCUAGGAUGUUGGCUUGGAAGCAGCCAUUCAUUUAAAGAGUGCGUAACAGCUCACUAGUCGAGCGUUCCUGCGCGGAAAAUAAGCGGG
This 522-nucleotide ribosomal RNA is filed under the name uncultured bacterium. Its description in RNAcentral is "bacterial LSU rRNA". It matches the Rfam family "Bacterial large subunit ribosomal RNA", at positions 661 to 1179 of the family's 2925-position model. The record is from RNAcentral.